Corythoichthys intestinalis (scribbled pipefish) is the source of this 1104-nucleotide long non-coding RNA. RefSeq lists it as uncharacterized. Lineage: Eukaryota; Metazoa; Chordata; Actinopteri; Syngnathiformes; Syngnathidae. The record is from RefSeq and is a predicted model, not a curated record. The transcript has 5 exons.
CUUAGGAACUCCCCCAACAAUAACUAAUGGAACCUCAGGAACUUCCCCCACACCAACGAGUGGAACCUCAGGAACUUCCCCCACACCAACUAGUGGAACCUCAGUGUUGGCACAUAUCAGAGCUCAGGUUGAACAUGUCAACGGUCUCAUUGUGACAGAAUUAAUUCGAAAAUACAUUGAAGAAGAAGCUCGAAGCCGAUGUGGAAACUGCUUAGUUAACCUCAGAGUAACGGAACUCCCAGGACCCUGACAGGUUUUAACCUCAAGCGCAAUGGAGAACUGUUCCGGCUGGUCACGAAUGGGGUGUGCUUGUCAUGUACACGGGGCUGAAAAUGUACAGUCUGUUCAUUUAAUUCAAUUACAGUAAAAGUGUAUAGUACCGGUAAUUCUCACUUUGAAAUAAUAAACUCCUCUGUCAAACUGUGUCCGAGUUGCAUACUAAUUAAAGUUGAAGUCUUUCCACCUUUCUCGAACUUUGUCCGACAUUAAUCUAUGCCUGAAUACUGAGUCUUUCUAAAGCAACAGGUUAUUCAUGUAACUGUCACACAAGGUGUGUGAGGGUUCUUUUUAAAUAACAACGUGAACCUGAUUCUACCAGCAGAAAAGGGACUCCAAACAGUUGACUUUAAAAACAGACAUUUAUUUUAAAAAGCCAAAAACCCAUUUUAUGAGCAACAUUUUACAAGACAUUAAAAUGUUUAAAGUAAAAAUCACACUCUUGGCCUGAUGCCACGCCUGUCUGGGUGUGUCCGGCCUUCCUGGCAUCGGUUCUAUUGUUUGCGUCCAUCGCAGCUCCCUCUGUGCCGCUCAUCCUUCUCCGUGGCGGCCCCCUCCUCAGUAAAACAUACCACUAAAACCAUGCAAUAUAAAAUAUUUGUAAAAACACUAAAAUGACGAAACACGUGAAACCAGAUCAAAACCAGACAAUUCUAAAACAUUAAAACAUGGCAGCUAAGAUAAGAACAGUGUCCAUUUUGAUAUAACCGGUGUUGUUAAUUUUACUUUAAAAAAGUAAUUAAUUACAGUUACCAAUUACUUCUCCCCAAAAGUAAUUGCAUUAGUAACUCAGUUACCUGAAUGUAAGAGUAAUUAGUUACUUGGGAA